UACGGAGGAUGCAAGCGUUAUCCGGAUUUAUUGGGUUUAAAGGGUGCGCAGGCGGCGCGAUAAGUCAGCGGUGAAAUGUACCGGCUCAACCGGUGAGCUGCCGUUGAUACUGUCGUGCUUGAGUGCGAGCGGCGCCGGCGGAAUGUGUGAUGUAGCGGUGAAAUGCAUAGAUAUCACACAGAACACCGAUCGCGAAGGCAGCUGGCGAGGACGUUACUGACGCUGAGGCACGAAAGCGUGGGGAUCAAAC
RNAcentral lists this ribosomal RNA (250 nucleotides) under uncultured prokaryote. RNAcentral describes it as "partial 16S ribosomal RNA". It matches the Rfam family "Bacterial small subunit ribosomal RNA", at positions 524 to 773 of the family's 1533-position model. The record is from RNAcentral.